AGCAGCCGCGGUAAUUCCAGCCCCAAUAGCGUAUAUUAAAGUUGUUGCAGUUAAAAAGCUCGUAGUUGAAUUUCGGGGUUAGUAGGCUGGUCGUGCCACAGGUAUGCACUGGUCUUACCGAUUCCUCCUUCCUGAUGAACCGUAAUGCCAUUAAUUUGGUGUUGCGGGGAGUCUGGACUGUUACUUUGAAAAAUUGAGUGUUUAAAGCAGGCUAACGCUUGAAUACAUUAGCAUGGAAUAACGAAAUAGGACGUUCGAUCCUAUUUUGUUGGUUUCUAGGAUUGACGUAAUGAUUAAUAGGGAUAGUUGGGGCAUUAGUAUUCAAUUGUCAGAGGUGAAAUUCUUGGAUUUA
Molecule: ribosomal RNA, 352 nt
Filed under: uncultured Glomeromycotina
Lineage: Eukaryota; Fungi; Glomeromycota
Description: SSU rRNA
Rfam family: Eukaryotic small subunit ribosomal RNA
Source: RNAcentral